Non-coding RNA from Dermacentor albipictus, 700 nucleotides. The record is from RefSeq and is a predicted model, not a curated record. Lineage: Eukaryota; Metazoa; Arthropoda; Arachnida; Ixodida; Ixodidae.
UAUGCUCGCGCAGCAGCAGGAGCGAAAUGCCGGUGUUGCACAGCGGUGUCACAGAGCCACCGCGCUGCGACCACUUCGGCGGCACAAUCCAAAUUUGUCGGACAUCUCAUUCUGUGCUGGAAACACUGGGAGGCAGGAAGUUUGAAAAAAACGGCCACUCCCGCCCGCAAUGUCUCGGUCGUGGGUUCGUUAUGCCAGUUGUUCAAGCCGUUCUGUACAUUUAUACUGGAUAUUAACUGGAGUCAUUUAGCUGUGCUGAUGCUGUUUGCCGUGUGUUUUGCAUCAGUGCUUCGUGACAUCGGCUGUAUUGCGUGUUUUCGCCGACGGCUUACUACCACAAUGGCGGGAUCUGCGUUCGCCGCCUUCGUGUCUCGGUGCGUCUUUGUACGUCGCACGUUCGGAUAACACUUUUUCCGACGGCUGGACAUCCUUCUUGUACGUUGGCGCUAGCUGGAUGACGGGACCUCAUCAUGAUCAGUGUAUUGCUUUCCUAUGUCUACAAGAACCGUCACGGGUGGCCUGUAACAGCAAGCUUUUGUGGGCAGCCAGUGCUCUCCUACGAAGGCUGGCCUACUCUGGCAGCGGCGGCAAUCAUCUUCAAGAUUUAUCGAUGAUCACCUUUGCUGCUAUUUGUCACUCUUCUUAAUUACACUUUCUGCAUCUUUUCUAAUCUAUUAGGUAAUAAAGUAUGAGUAUGUGA